UGAGCCACGAAGGGAACUCCAUACCUUCUUUUUCUUUUUAUGGCGGCACCCUUGGCAUACGGAAGUUCCUGGGCCAGGGGUUGAAUCCAAGCCGCAGCUGCAACCUAUACCCACAGCUCUGUGGCAACACUGGAUCCUUUAACCCAGCACACUGGGCCAGGGAAGGAACCUGCACCUCUGCAGCAACCCAAGCCACUGUAGUUGGAUUCUUAACUCGCUGUGCCACAGUGGGAACUCCUCAGCUCCAUUUUUAAAGCCCCUUAUAGAGUAGGUAUUUUCUGUAUUUGCUACCUACUUUGUGGUGGCGUUCUGCCUUCUUCCACUGCAGAGCAAGCUCCAUGUGGUCAGGGACCAUGGUUGCCUGGUUUACUGUCCUUGUCCUAGAACGGCCCAGGCACAUAACAGGUACGGAGCGGCUGCUGUGUGGAUAAGCAGGUGGAUGGGUGGAUGUCCACGCUCCUUCCUUGCCUACUUCCUGCCUCCCCCCUGCCCAUUUCGUCAGUCAUCAUCUGUCCUGCUUCCUCAGGGCCUUGUUUUCUUUUCCUUUGUUUCUUUUUUUAAUUGCACACACACACAUCCCUUUCACACCUCUGCCCCUGCCUCUGCCAGCUAUGAGCUCCAGGGCAUCCUUUUCCCCCACCGUGCCUUCCUGUCUUGGAUACUGAAGCAAAUCGAAAUCCACCUGGACCCCGUCUAGACCCCACUACCUCCAUGAAGUUUUCUUUGCAUCCUGACAGCUCUAAACUUAUUUCUUUGUCAGUAAUAUUAGCCUUUUUGCUUUAUAUUGUUGAGUUAAAUUAAAUCCGUGUGUGUGGUUUUAGAGGAAACACACACACACACCCCUAGUUUCGCAUCUCCUUGCGGGCAGGGAUGACAUUUCUUUGGUGCCUCCCGUGGUACUUAGAGCAGGCUGGUGCUCAGUACACGUGCUGGUUUGAAAUGAUGACUCUUUGCUGAUGCCCUCCUGACCUUGUUGAGGUGGGUUUACUUUGUGGAGUGCCUGUAUUGAGGACCACAUUGCAGUUGCAGCAACAAAUCGGAAUUUAUCAGAAGGAGUGCAUCGAUUGUCAGCCUGGUGAAUCUAAAUUUUCUCUUAUAAAAAUGCCUUAAAGUCAGGUAGCAGACACAGGCCUUUGUGUCAGCCAGGGCCGGUGGAGGCGAGAGGAGGGGAAGUGCGCUUUCCCCGCGGGCUUGUCCUUUUUCAUCUGGCAGAUACUGAUUAUCUUCCUCUCACGUUUCUUUAUUGCAGUGGGAAAAGGUGACUUGUUUAUCAUCCUUUGCCCUGGCACCAGUAGUGAUGUUUGUAAAAGUAAAUCGCUUCAAAUGGAUUAGAUUUAUUUUGUACAGUUUUUUCUUUCAUCAGUUGAAAGAGCUGAAUUUUUACAAUGGACUUAGGUUGGUCUCUCUUGAAAUCCUGUUCCGGGAGUUCCACAUUGUGGCUCAGUGGGUUAAGAAUGCGACUCGUGUCCACAAGGAUGCAGGUUCAAUCCCUGGCCUCACUCAGUGGGUUAAGGAUGCGGCACUGCGAUGAGCUGCAGUGUACUUUGCAGGUGCGGUUUGGAUCUGGCAUUGCUCUGGCUGUGAUGUAGACCAGCAGCUGUAGCUCUGAUUCAUCUCCUAGCCCGGGAGUCUCCAUAUGCCGUGGGUGUGGCCCUAAAAAGAAAAAAAGAAAUUUUUCCAAGUCCAGCUCAAGGGUUGCAUUUUAGUGCCUGAUGAGUGACUGGCUUAGUUUCCCAGUGGAGUCAGUAUCUGCUUGGUGGCACCAUCUAAUCUGUAAUGCCCUUUUUCUUCAUGGAACAGCUCUUACUCAGCACAGAGUACCCAUUGGUGUUAAUUAGCUCUGAAAUCUGCUUCUUCCUUUAAAUUGUAUGAGCACCAAGUAUCAUAAAAAAAAUUACAGCCUGUUAUUAGCUGAUGCAGUUUAUUUCCAUCAGAUUGUCAUGGAACAUAUGGGCAGUCAUGAAUCUUCAAUUGUGGUAAUUAGGCAGACUUCCCCAAAUCCAGUAGAAUGUAGUUUAUGGAGACUUCGUUGCUGAAAUACAGUAAUAUAGAUACAGUCUGGAAGUUGGAGCUUGAAAUCGGUAGGCUUCAGCACAAAGAGCUUGGGUAGCUCUCCUUUUCUUGAAAUGAAGGUGUGAGGUCCCUCGUUGCUUACAGGCUCUGUGAGAUCUUCAGAGUAUUGACUUAAAUGUCAUCACUGUGGUAGUUACAAGGGCUCUACCCCCAGACACGGGUGGCCCUUACCUAGAGGGGACUGCACUUCCCAGGCUCCGAGUGGCGGAGGGCGUCAGGUGACUCGCUGUGGCUGGGGGUGUGAGUGGAGGUGUGUCCUGCCCAGAGGAGCCAGAGUCUCACGCCCCUCCCUCUGCCUCCGUGACUGCCAGUGGCUCCAGAGGGUGUCUGUUUUGUCCACCUGGGACCUGAGGACACUGCCAGGCAGAGAACUGGGAUGGACACAUCUGAUCUGAGAUGGACCCGUGUAACAAAGUAAACCUUUGGGAUUUUUCAGUUGUUUGUUACCACAGUAUCACACAGCCCAGCAGUUCUCAAACCUUGGGUGUGCAAGACCCUGUACAUUAUCGAGGACUCCAAAGAGCUGUUGUUUGUAUGGAUUACAGCCAUCAAUAUUUAAUUUGAGAUUAAAACUGAAUAAUUGAUAAAAGGUGAAAUAAGACACAGUGUACUUCUUAUAUUUCAGUAUAUGCGCAAGAAGAUUUAAGGACUUCACAGUAACUGUGUGUUGCAUGAUGAGGUUGCAGAUACACAGAUAGCAGGUAUAACAAGAGAUAGCUAGUCAUCGGAAAACUCCUAUUUAUACUGUAAAGCUACCACCUUAGAAAUUUCCAGAAAACAUAAAAAUACUCAGAUACAGGGAGUUCCCAUCCUGGCCUCGCUCUUUGGUUUGGGGAUCUAGCGUUGCCCUGAGCUGGUGGUGUAGGUCACAGAUGCAGCUUGGAUCCUGUGUGACUGUGGUGUAGGCCAGCAGCUGUAGCUCUGAUUCGACCCAUAGCCUGGGAACCUCUGUAUGCCACAGGUGUGGCCCUAAAAAGCUUAAAAAAAAAAAAAAAA
RNAcentral lists this long non-coding RNA (3069 nucleotides) under Sus scrofa (pig). RNAcentral describes it as "lncRNA (ENSSSCG00015069844.1)". Lineage: Eukaryota; Metazoa; Chordata; Mammalia; Artiodactyla; Suidae. The record is from RNAcentral.